This 75-nucleotide transfer RNA is filed under the name Candidatus Kinetoplastidibacterium galati TCC219. RNAcentral describes it as "tRNA-Arg (CCG) (tRNA-Arg-CCG-1-1)". It matches the Rfam family "tRNA". From Rfam's summary of the family: Transfer RNA (tRNA) molecules are approximately 80 nucleotides in length. Their secondary structure includes four short double-helical elements and three loops (D, anti-codon, and T loops). The record is from RNAcentral. Lineage: Bacteria; Pseudomonadati; Pseudomonadota; Betaproteobacteria.
GCAUCCGUAGUUCAAUGGAUAGAAUAUGAGUUUCCGAAGCUCAUGAUACAGGUUCAAUUCCUGCCGGAUGCGCCA